CAUCCCCAUGCGUGUCUGAGAGGAGUGACCAGCCCACACUGGAACUUAGAAACCGGUUCCAGAUCUACGAGAGCAGCCAUGGAAUAUUGCACAUGGCGCCAAGGCUUGAUGCAGCAUUGCGCGUUUGAAGGAAGGCCUUCGGUUUGUAAAGUACCUUCAGCGAGGAGAGGUGUUGAGGUUAAUACUCAGCAAUUGACGUUACUCGCAGAAGAAGCACGGCUAACUCCCGUGGCAGCAGCCGCGGUAAUACGGAGGGUGCAAGCGUAAUCGGAAUUACUGGGCGUAAAGCGCACGCAGGCGGUCCUGUCAAGUCGGAUGUGAAAUCCCCGGGCUCAACCUGGGAACUGCAUCCGAAACUGGCAGGCUAGAGUCUGUAGAGGGGGGUAGAAUUCCAGGUGUAGCGGUGAAAUGCGUAGAGAUCUGGAGGAAUACCGGUGGCGAAGGCGGCCCCCUGGACAAAGACUGACGCUCAGGUGCGAAAGCGUGGGGAGCAAACAGGAUUAGAUACCCUGGCAGUCCACGCCGUAAACGAUGUCGACUUGGAGGUUGUGCCCUUGAGGCGUGGCUUCCGGAGCUAACGCGUUAAGUCGACCGCCUGGGGAGUACGGCCGCAAGGUUAAAACUCAAAUGAAUUGACGGGGGCCCGCACAAGCGGUGGAGCAUGUGGUUUAAUUCGAUGCAACGCGAAGAACCUUACCUACUCUUGACAUCCAGAGAACUUGGCAGAGAUGCCUUGGUGCCUUCGGGAACUCUGAGACAGGUGCUGCAUGGCUGUCGUCAGCUCGUGUUGUGAAAUGUUGGGUUAAGUCCCGCAACGAGCGCAACCCUUAUCCUUUGUUGCCAGCGGUUAGGCCGGGAACUCAAAGGAGACUGCCAGUGAUAAACUGGAGGAAGGUGGGGAUGACGUCAAGUCAUCAUGGCCCUUACGAGUAGGGCUACACACGUGCUACAAUGGCAUAUACAAAGAGAAGCGACCUCGCGAGAGCAAGCGGACCUCAUAAAGUAUGUCGUAGUCCGGAUUGGAGUCUGCAACUCGACUCCAUGAAGUCGGAAUCGCUAGUAAUCGUGGAUCAGAAUGCCACGGUGAAUACGUUCCCGGGCCUUGUACACACCGCCCGUCACACCAUGGGAGUGGGUUGCAAAAGAAGUAGGUAGCUUAACCUUCGGGAGGGCGCUUACCACUUUGUGAUUCAUGACUGGGGUGAAGUCGUAACAAGGUAACCA
RNAcentral lists this ribosomal RNA (1224 nucleotides) under uncultured bacterium. Its description in RNAcentral is "bacterial SSU rRNA". It matches the Rfam family "Bacterial small subunit ribosomal RNA", at positions 278 to 1502 of the family's 1533-position model. The record is from RNAcentral.